RNAcentral lists this ribosomal RNA (1503 nucleotides) under Bacillus sp. XJSL3-6. RNAcentral's name for it is "partial 16S ribosomal RNA". It matches the Rfam family "Bacterial small subunit ribosomal RNA". The record is from RNAcentral. Lineage: Bacteria; Bacillati; Bacillota; Bacilli; Caryophanales; Bacillaceae.
AGAGUUUGAUCCUGGCUCAGAACGAACGCUGGCGGCAGGCCUAACACAUGCAAGUCGAGCGGAAACGAUGGAGCUUGCUCCAGGCGUCGAGCGGCGGACGGGUGAGUAAUGCAUAGGAAUCUGCCCGGUAGUGGGGGAUAACCUGGGGAAACCCAGGCUAAUACCGCAUACGUCCUACGGGAGAAAGCAGGGGAUCUUCGGACCUUGCGCUAUCGGAUGAGCCUAUGUCGGAUUAGCUUGUUGGUGAGGUAAUGGCUCACCAAGGCGACGAUCCGUAGCUGGUCUGAGAGGAUGAUCAGCCACAUCGGGACUGAGACACGGCCCGAACUCCUACGGGAGGCAGCAGUGGGGAAUAUUGGACAAUGGGCGCAAGCCUGAUCCAGCCAUGCCGCGUGUGUGAAGAAGGCUUUCGGGUUGUAAAGCACUUUCAGUGAGGAAGAAGGCCUUGGGGCCAAUACCCCCGAGGAAGGACAUCACUCACAGAAGAAGCACCGGCUAACUCCGUGCCAGCAGCCGCGGUAAUACGGAGGGUGCGAGCGUUAAUCGGAAUUACUGGGCGUAAAGGGCUCGCAGGCGGUUUCUUAAGUCUGAUGUGAAAGCCCCCGGCUCAACCGGGGAGGGUCAUUGGAAACUGGGAAACUUGAGUGCAGAAGAGGAGAGUGGAAUUCCACGUGUAGCGGUGAAAUGCGUAGAGAUGUGGAGGAACACCAGUGGCGAAGGCGACUCUCUGGUCUGUAACUGACGCUGAGGAGCGAAAGCGUGGGGAGCGAACAGGAUUAGAUACCCUGGUAGUCCACGCCGUAAACGAUGAGUGCUAAGUGUUAGGGGGUUUCCGCCCCUUAGUGCUGCAGCUAACGCAUUAAGCACUCCGCCUGGGGAGUACGGUCGCAAGACUGAAACUCAAAGGAAUUGACGGGGGCCCGCACAAGCGGUGGAGCAUGUGGUUUAAUUCGAAGCAACGCGAAGAACCUUACCAGGUCUUGACAUCCUCUGACAACCCUAGAGAUAGGGCUUUCCCUUCGGGGACAGAGUGACAGGUGGUGCAUGGUUGUCGUCAGCUCGUGUCGUGAGAUGUUGGGUUAAGUCCCGCAACGAGCGCAACCCUUGAUCUUAGUUGCCAGCAUUUAGUUGGGCACUCUAAGGUGACUGCCGGUGACAAACCGGAGGAAGGUGGGGAUGACGUCAAAUCAUCAUGCCCCUUAUGACCUGGGCUACACACGUGCUACAAUGGACAGAACAAAGGGCUGCGAGACCGCAAGGUUUAGCCAAUCCCACAAAUCUGUUCUCAGUUCGGAUCGCAGUCUGCAACUCGACUGCGUGAAGCUGGAAUCGCUAGUAAUCGCGGAUCAGCAUGCCGCGGUGAAUACGUUCCCGGGCCUUGUACACACCGCCCGUCACACCACGAGAGUUUGCAACACCCGAAGUCGGUGAGGUAACCUUUAUGGAGCCAGCCGCCGAAGGUGGGGCAGAUGAUUGGGGUGAAGUCGUAACAAGGUAGCCGUA